GCGUGGGUGGUCUAAAGGUUAUGACUAUUGCCUUCCAAGCAAUCAAUCCGGGUUCAAUUCCCGGCCCGCGCA
Molecule: transfer RNA, 72 nt
Filed under: Candidatus Pacearchaeota archaeon
Lineage: Archaea; Nanobdellati
Description: tRNA-Gly
Rfam family: tRNA
About the family: Transfer RNA (tRNA) molecules are approximately 80 nucleotides in length. Their secondary structure includes four short double-helical elements and three loops (D, anti-codon, and T loops). Further hydrogen bonds mediate the characteristic L-shaped molecular structure. tRNAs have two regions of fundamental functional importance: the anti-codon, which is responsible for specific mRNA codon recognition, and the 3' end, to which the tRNAs corresponding amino acid is attached (by aminoacyl-tRNA synthetases). tRNAs cope with the degeneracy of the genetic code in two manners: having more than one tRNA (with a specific anti-codon) for a particular amino acid; and 'wobble' base-pairing, i.e. permitting non-standard base-pairing at the 3rd anti-codon position.
Source: RNAcentral